Molecule: ribosomal RNA, 747 nt
Filed under: uncultured bacterium
Lineage: Bacteria
Description: bacterial SSU rRNA
Rfam family: Bacterial small subunit ribosomal RNA
Source: RNAcentral
GAUGAACGCUGGCGGCGUGCUUAACACAUGCAAGUCGAGCGAGAAGUUUUGAAAAGAUUCUUCGGAUGAAAUUUAAAAUGGAAAGCGGCGGACGGGUGAGUAACGCGUAGGCAACCUGCCCCAUACAAAGGGAUAGCAUUUGGAAACGAAUAUUAAUACCUUAUGAAACUUAACUAGUGCAUGCUAGGUAGGUCAAAGAUUUAUCGGUAUGGGAUGGGCCUGCGUCUGAUUAGCUAGUUGGUGAGGUAACGGCUCACCAAGGCGACGAUCCGUAGCCGACCUGAGAGGGUGAACGGCCACAUUGGAACUGAGACACGGUCCAAACUCCUACGGGAGGCAGCAGUGGGGAAUAUUGCACAAUGGGGGAAACCCUGAUGCAGCAACGCCGCGUGAACGAUGAAGGCCUUUGGGUCGUAAAGUUCUGUUCUAGGUGAUGAAAACUGACAGUAACCUAGGAGAAAGCCCCGGCUAACUCCGUGCCAGCAGCCGCGGUAAUACGGAGGGGGCAAGCGUUAUCCGGAAUUAUUGGGCGUAAAGGGUACGUAGGUGGCCUUUUAAGCGUAGGGUAUAAGGCAAUGGCUCAACCAUUGUUCGCCCUAUGAACUGGAAGGCUUGAGUGCAGGAGAGGAAAGCGGAAUUCCUAGUGUAGCGGUGGAAUGCAUAGAUAUUAGGAGGAACAGCAGCGGCGAAGGCGGCUUUCUGGACUGCAACUGACACUGAGGUACGAAAGCGUGGGGAGCAAACAGG